GACGAACGCUGGCGGCGUGCCUAAUACAUGCAAGUAGAACGCUGAAGGAGGAGCUUGCUUCUCUGGAUGAGUUGCGAACGGGUGAGUAACGCGUAGGUAACCUGCCUGGUAGCGGGGGAUAACUAUUGGAAACGAUAGCUAAUACCGCAUAAGAGUAGAUGUUGCAUGACAUUUGCUUAAAAGGUGCAAUUGCAUCACUACCAGAUGGACCUGCGUUGUAUUAGCUAGUUGGUGGGGUAACGGCUCGCCAAGGCGACGAUACAUAGCCGACCUGAGAGGGUGAUCGGCCACACUGGGACUGAGACACGGCCCAGACUCCUACGGGAGGCAGCAGUAGGGAAUCUUCGGCAAUGGACGGAAGUCUGACCGAGCAACGCCGCGGGAGUGAAGAAGGUUUUCGGAUCGUAAAGCUCUGUUGUAAGAGAAGAACGAGUGUGAGAGUGGAAAGUUCACACUGUGACGGUAUCUUACCAGAAAGAGACGGCUAACUACGUG
RNAcentral lists this ribosomal RNA (495 nucleotides) under uncultured bacterium. Its description in RNAcentral is "partial 16S ribosomal RNA". It matches the Rfam family "Bacterial small subunit ribosomal RNA", at positions 28 to 507 of the family's 1533-position model. The record is from RNAcentral.